Molecule: ribosomal RNA, 460 nt
Filed under: uncultured bacterium
Lineage: Bacteria
Description: partial 16S ribosomal RNA
Rfam family: Bacterial small subunit ribosomal RNA
Source: RNAcentral
CCUACGGGAGGCAGCAGUGAGGAAUAUUGGUCAAUGGACGAGAGUCUGAACCAGCCAAGUAGCGUGAAGGAUGACUGCCCUAUGGGUUGUAAACUUCUUUUAUAUGGGAAUAAAAUGUUCCACGUGUGGGAUUUUGUAUGUACCAUAUGUAUAAGGAUCGGCUAACUCCGUUCCAGCAGCCGCGGUAAUACGGAGGGUCCGAGCGUUAUCCGGAUUUAUUGGGUUUAAAGGGAGCGUAGGUGGAUUGUUAAGUCAGUUGUGAAAGUGUGCGGCUCAACCGUAAAAUUGCAGUUGAAACUGGCAGUCUUGAGUACAGUAGAGGUGGGCGGAAUUCGUGGUGUAGCGGUGAAAUGCUUAGAUAUCACGAAGAACUCCGAUUGCGAAGGCAGUUCACUGGACUGCAACUGACACUGAGGCUCGAAAGUGUGGGUAUCAAACAGGAUUAGAUACCCCUGUAGUC